CGGGGCUUAAAGUCUUGUAAUUGGAAUGAUGGGAAUUUAAACCUCUUCCAGAGUAUCAAUUGGAGGGCAAGUCUGGUGCCAGCAGCCGCGGUAAUUCCAGCUCCAAUAGCGUAUAUUAAAAUUGUUGCAGUUAAAAAGCUCGUAGUUGAAUUUCUGCUGCAUUGCUUGUGUCCCUCUGGGGUCUGUGCAUGUGGCUUUUUUCGGACGGAGUUUCUUUGUCUGAAUGUUUACUUUGAGAAAAUUAGAGUGCUCAAAGCAGGCUUUCGCCUUGAAUAGUUUAGCAUGGAAUAAUAAAGUAGGACUUUGGUUCUAUUUUGUUGGUUUUAGGUACCAAAGUAAUGGUUAAUAGGAACAGUUGGGGGCAUUCGUAUUUAACUGUCAGAGGUGAAAUUCUUAGAUUUGUUAAAGACGAACUACUGCGAAAGCAUUUGCCAAAGAUGUUUUCAUUAAUCAAGAAC
Molecule: ribosomal RNA, 458 nt
Filed under: Theileria annulata
Lineage: Eukaryota; Apicomplexa; Aconoidasida; Piroplasmida; Theileriidae
Description: SSU rRNA
Rfam family: Eukaryotic small subunit ribosomal RNA
Source: RNAcentral